RNAcentral lists this ribosomal RNA (462 nucleotides) under uncultured bacterium. Its description in RNAcentral is "partial 16S ribosomal RNA". It matches the Rfam family "Bacterial small subunit ribosomal RNA", at positions 28 to 507 of the family's 1533-position model. The record is from RNAcentral.
GACGAACGCUGGCGGCGUGCUUAACACAUGCAAGUCGAACGGAAAGGCCCUUCGGGGUACUCGAGUGGCGAACGGGUGAGUAACACGUGGGUGAUCUGCCCUGCACUUUGGGAUAAGCCUGGGAAACUGGGUCUAAUACCGAAUAGGACCACGCGCUUCAUGGUGUGUGGUGGAAAGCUUUUGCGGUGUGGGAUGGGCCCGCGGCCUAUCAGCGUGUUGGUGGGGUAAUGGCCUACCAAGGCGACGACGGGUAGCCGGCCUGAGAGGGUGACCGGCCACACUGGGACUGAGAUACGGCCCAGACUCCUACGGGAGGCAGCAGUGGGGAAUAUUGCACAAUGGGCGCAAGCCUGAUGCAGCGACGCCGCGUGAGGGAUGACGGCCUUCGGGUUGUAAACCUCUUUCACCAGGGACGAAGCGUAAGUGACGGUACCUGGAGAAGAAGCACCGGCCAACUACGUG